GAUGAACGCUGGCGGCGUGCCUAAUACAUGCAAGUCGAGCGAACGGACGAGAAGCUUGCUUUUCUGAUGUUAGCGGCGGACGGGUGAGUAACACGUGGAUAACCUACCUAUAAGACUGGGAUAACUUCGGGAAACCGGAGCUAAUACCGGAUAAUAUUUUGAACCGCAUGGUUCAAAAGUGAAAGACGGUCUUGCUGUCACUUAUAGAUGGAUCCGCGCUGCAUUAGCUAGUUGGUAAGGUAACGGCUUACCAAGGCAACGAUGCAUAGCCGACCUGAGAGGGUGAUCGGCCACACUGGAACUGAACCACGGUCCAGACUCCUACGGGAGGCAGCAGUAGGGAAUCUUCCGCAAUGGGCGAAAGCCUGACGGAGCAACGCCGCGUGAGUGAUGAAGGUCUUCGGAUCGUAAAACUCUGUUAUUAGGGAAGAACUUAUGUGUAGGUAACUGUGCACAUCUUGACGGUACCUAAUCAGAAAGCAACGGCUAACUACGUG
RNAcentral lists this ribosomal RNA (497 nucleotides) under uncultured bacterium. RNAcentral's name for it is "partial 16S ribosomal RNA". It matches the Rfam family "Bacterial small subunit ribosomal RNA", at positions 28 to 507 of the family's 1533-position model. The record is from RNAcentral.